GAUGGACCCGCGUCUGAUUAGCUGGUUGGUGAGGUAAGGCCCACCAAGGCGACGAUCAGUAGCCGGCCUGAGAGGGUGAACGGCCACAUUGGGACUGAGACACGGCCCAGACUCCUGCGGGAGGCAGCAGUGGGGAAUAUUGCACAAUGGGGGAAACCCUGAUGCAGCAACGCCGCGUGAAGGAUGAAGUAUUUCGGUAUGUAAACUUCUAUCAGCAGGGAAGAAGAAGACGGUACCUGACUAAGAAGCCCCGGCUAACUAC
Molecule: ribosomal RNA, 262 nt
Filed under: uncultured bacterium
Lineage: Bacteria
Description: partial 16S ribosomal RNA
Rfam family: Bacterial small subunit ribosomal RNA
Source: RNAcentral